ACCCCAGGAUUCAGACCAGAACAACAAAAUACAGAAUCAUUGUAUUAUAUUCAAGCAUUGUGUAAAUGGAUCCCUGUGACUGACAUGUUUAUGAGAGUCUGAUUGUCAUGUACACUAGACAUGCUUGCUGAAGGUUGUAGAAUCAUGGAUUGUUGAACUCAAUUCUCCUCUGGAUGCUUCACAAUCACAACAGGACACUUAACGUGCUUAGCACAAUAAUCACUCACGCUUCCUAAGAGAGCCCUGUAAAAUUUAGAAAAGAAUUAAUCUCCAAACAAUCGGCUUGGCUGUGAAUUAGGCAAUAAUUGAAAGGAUAAAGUAGCUAGUAUCAAUUGCUUGUACCUCUUGAUGAAACCAUAACCGUGGCUUCCCAUCACCAAAGUGUCAGCUUCCAGUUUCUCCACAGUACCACAUAUUACAUCCUUGGCAUCGCCACAUCCCACUACUCUCUUUACAUGUAUCUGUAAAAAGAAAAAAAAAAAAAAUCAUCCGUAACAAACUGAAAAAAGGAAACAAUACAGGGGUGUUGAUGAUAAAUAAGCAGAGGCUUACAUUGUUUUGGAAGUUCCUGUACACAGCCUCAGCUCGAUUCAUCACCGAAUUCACCGACUCAGUAGCGUAUUUCUCGACGGCCUUGAUGACAUCAUUUGAGAAUAUAUAUCCUGCGAGAUGAAGGGUCUUUAGUUGAAUGGGAUGUCAUCAUGACUCGUGAACAAAUAAUUUCUAAUAAAAUAAAACAGCGGUAAAACAUAGAAAGGUCCAAGGUCUGGAGAGGACAAAUACUACGGAGAAAGUGGCUGUUCUGACCUGCAGCAUCAAAGGAGGAGUGGACGGGUAGAGGAGGUUUAACGUAGAGGAGGACAAGGGUGUUGUUGGUAUCAGGAGAAAAUAGGUUGUUGAGACACCAUGAGAGUGCAUGCAUGCUCUCUUCACUCUCGUCCACUGCUACCACAACUCUGCGCUCGUUCGUGUUCAUCUUCGGAACUCGUGCGCUGUUAGUCAAGUUUCAAUGGGUUUUUUGGCCUUUUGGCUCGCAGCUUGCUAUAGGUAUAUAUAAUAAUGUAUGGUUCUUGAGAAAUUCUAUGGCCUCAAGAUGUUGUAGAUAAAUGAACAAAAAGAAGAGAUUUAUAAGGGCUGCUUCCUGUGGUUUUGAGUCCUGUGGGCUUUCAUUUCAAAUUAAGAUUAUUGUCCGUUGUCCGUGGUUUUCUUUUUGUGAUGACCAUUGACGAAAGUGUAACUUUAGCUAAAAACAGACUAUUAUGUUUUAGUUUUUUAAUAAAUAAAUAAUUUUUUUCUUUGAUUUUAAAAAAAAUAUGCGAGUUCAUAACUUCGUAUCAUUCAUCUUUUUUCUUUUCUUUUUUUUCAAUUGGACGAUAAUAUUAAUAAAAUAAAACUAUAGAAAAUGAAAAACCAGCCUAAAAGUUACAGUCAAGCCUGUCAACACGAUGAAGAUAUUAUUGCAACCUUUUUCCCGCGGACAUUAAAAAAAAAAAAAAAAGGGGGAAAAAAUCAAUUAGGCGAACUUGAUAACUGAAAAUAUCUCCUCCAAUUAUUGAUCACACAAAAGUCGCCGCCCGUCUGUCUUCUUAUCCUUUGUGGUCUACAUCUGGUGAGGGACCAGUGCCCAAAUAUCUCAAGACUCAAGUGGAGGCUUGGCUACCAAACAUGUUACAUUCAUAAUCUAAUCCAUUUGGCAAAUAACCAGAAGACACCCUGCUUCCUUUGAACAUUUCUUGAAUCCGCUGCGUUCCAUGAUGUAUUCUACUCCCUCCAUAGGUUGUUAAGGGGUCGUUAAUGAUAUUAUUAGAUGCUUUGAAUCUGAUCAAACCCUUGUAAAAUAAAGUACUAAUCGUCCAAUUUGUAAAAAAAAAAAAGGGUACAAUAACAAAGAAUAAAAUAAGGGGGGAAAAAAAAAAAGAUUUGGAAGGAAGAAUGAAAAUGAUUCUCCUUUAUAGAUAGUUUGAUAUGGAAAGCAAAGUGUAGUUAAUGAUACAGUGAUAGAUUUUUUUUAUAAAUAAAAUGAAGGGAUGGUCUACCAUAUGUUGGCUCCUAUGUUACAUCAUUGCAGGUUCUUCAGUAGUUGUAAUGUAAUGUUUGAGUCGAUACAAUAUUAGACCUAUCCUAAAUUGAAACUUCAAUUGCGAUUAAGCAAUUAAUUAAGAGUUGCUGAAUGAUGUCUAUAGUUUCAGUCUUUUUAGACGAAGCGUUUAUUUAUUUAUUGUAGGUGAUGCCCAAUAUUUUAUCUCUAAAAAGAUCCUGGAAUGAAUGAUCAGACCAUUUGUUGAUUGAUGACAUGUCAUCGAACAACGAACGGGACUGACGAAAGACUCUUUCUAAGGAAAUUCAAACCUAACUUCUUGGUACGAGCGUGGGCCCUUGGCCAGACUCAAUCUCAUCAAAGGUGAGCUUUUGGGCCGAUAAAAUAAUGUAUAAAAAAGUGAAAGACAGGGCCAUGGGCCAACUAUAUUAAAUAUCCAGAAUCGUUUUCGAGAGUGAAUUGCCCCUCCUAUAUAUGCACACACACGCACACGAACCAACUUUGAAGCAAAGACUCCUCUAAUUGUAAGUUGUAACAACUACCAUCUAUCUGCUUUUCAUCAAACGUUUGAUUUAUAAAUGAUAAUCAACUAAUAAUCACAUAAUUCUACCGAGCUGAAGAUAAAUUAAAUCAUUAUUCUUUUGUUUUAAACUUUCUUUUUCUGCCCUACUUGCUCAAGUUCGAUCCGAUGUCAUCUAAACGUUACUUCCCAAAUCUUAUUCAAAAUGAAAUUUCAUUUUCAGCCCCAUUUUAUUUUGACAUAAUAAAAUUCACUGCACAACGGCCCAGUGGGUAAAACCCUGCAUUCACAAUUGUGAGAGCAGCAGUUUAAACCUUCACGAUGUAUGUAAGGACUUAUUUCUUUUUUUUUUUAAUUAUAGUAUGUAAUUAAGUAAAGACAAUCUUCUUUUUUUUUUAAAUAUGAAUAGAGUAGACACUCUUUGAAUAUUUGAAAGGAUAAAAUAUAAACAGCACUAUAUAAAAAUUAAUAUAAAAUAAUUUCAAUUAUUAUCUUAUUGUAAAUAUCAAUUAUAAAUUUUAUAUAAAAUGAGUUAUAAUUUAACCAAUGUCAAUACACAAAUAUUCUAAAAGGCCAACUUGAGUUUUAUUUGGGAGAUUCGCAGGAGUGCCUUGGCCCCACUCCAUGUCAGAUGAUCAGCACUGGUCAAAUCUCUUGUAUGGAGAUAUAUAUCGUGUAUGUCCGUUGUCUAAGGCUCUGUUUGGUACAGCUUAUUAAAUAGAACUUAUAACAAUAGAGGUUAUAGCAGUAGAGCUUAUACCAAUAGAGCUUUUGGACAAAAAGUCAUUAGGCGUUUGGUUGUUAAUAAAAAAAGUACUUUUGAACCAUUAAACAGUGUGAUAUUUUUUAUAUUAUAUAUUUUUAGAAAAGCUCUAUAACCUCUACUCCCAAAAGCUUAAAUUUUGGGCUUUUGCUAGUAGAGGUAAAUUAGCUUAUUUAAGCUAAAAAAACUCUACUAAAAAAAUAACCAAACACCAUAAAAAUUUUUUAAAAAAUGCUUAUACGAUUAAAUAAGCACUUAUGGCUCUUAAAUAAGCCAUACCAAAUAGGCACUAAGACGCGGACUCCAUUAGCCGCAUCAAAGAGUUGACGGCUGAGAUUAAUUUGAUCAGUCGAGCUGGUCUCCAUUGACGUAUAUUGAGGCUGCCCACUUGCCACUUGCUUUAAGAGUUCGCAAGGAGUUCGUACAUAUAUUGUAUAUUACAUUCACGCCGUUUGUUCGUGAUACAUCUUUCACAAUUAGAAGCAUCCAAAUUUUGAGAGAAGAGGUGGAAAGGGCAUAAAAAAAAGGAAAAAAAUAAAUAAAGGCGAUAAGAUCAAAGAGGAGAUAGGCACGAGUGUCAGUCAGCAUCCUAGAUAUCAAAAUAAUAACUAGAUUUUAAAAUCAAGAAAUUAACAUGAGUGAAAUUGUUGUAGAAAUAACGUUUGAAAUUUUGAAAGACGUCCAAAUUUUUUUUUUAAAAAAAGAAGUGGGCCCGGGCAUUCCAGCUUGUCAAGAGCUAGCCCGGCUUUUCGGUGAGCGCAUUUUUAUAUUUUAAUAAUUUCUGAUGGGGACCCAUCAAUUUAAAUUUCUGGUAGCAAAACGACCUAGGACGAUUGAGGCUUCUUCAUAUUCAAACUAAUGAAACGAUAAAUUUGAAUUCGACACGGAGUGGCGACAACAAAAAAUAAGACGGUCACGUUUUAACAGGCUCAUCAAAUUGAAAGCAAUUAUUUUUCAAAAGUUUCUUUUCUACAAUCUUGCCUCUUAUUAUAUUAAAUCAAUUUACAAAUUUAUAAUAAUAACAAAACGGAUUGUAAACUCUUAAGAAGUAAUGUAAUUUAAUUAUUAAAGGAAUAUCAUCAUUUUUGUAAAUGGCAUCAAUCACUGUCGUUGUUCGUAGAACGGCUUAAUUUCUCUUGCUUCGCAAGAGUUGUCAAGAAAACGAAAUUGGGCGGAGUGGGAUCGCUUUCGUAGGCAUAAAUUAUAGCAUGCCUUAUUCUGAAAAAACAAAAAAAUAUACAUAUAUUAUUGCAUACCUUGUGAAAAAUGGGAGCGAUUACAAUGUUUUACAUAACAAUCAACGGUAAUAAAUAUACAUUACCAUUUAUUACUGAUGGGUUCAUUUCAUUGACGAUUUAAUCAUUGAGUAAUAAAAAUUAAAUAAAGCUGUAUGCUCUAAUCAGAUAUGUCAUGGAGUCAAAGCUCAUAAAUUAUUAUUAUUAUUCCAUAGUUGUACAGUACACGGUGAAUCGAAUUAUAUAGGUGGGUGUCAAUUAGUUCAUUUGAUAAAAAUUUUAUGAAUAAAAACGAGAAAUAUGGAGUUUGAGUCUCAGCUCACGUGAACGGGUAGUAAAUUAAAUCAUUAAAUUACAAUUAGAAAAAAAAGUGGUGAAUUAAAACAGAUUAAAUUACAUAUUUUUUGAGUCAGAUUAUGCACUUAAGUCUUUGUACUCAUUUAAAUUUUCAAGUUCGUUAACCGCGUAUUUGAUACAGCUCAGAGUCUCAAAUCGGCCACUCCAGGCAAAAAAUAACGAAACUGAAAAGGGAAAUAAUAAUAAAAAAAAAAACCGAAAUACAAGAGUGGAUAAAAUAAUCAUAUUUAUUUGGAAAACUAGUGAGGGCAGUAUCGAAAUUUCUUAUUGUGCUUCUUACAUUUAAAGUCCUGUCCUGUUUCGGGACCUGAGAGAAAGGAAGCAGACGCAGACACAGCAAAUUUGAAAAUUAAAAAAGGGGAGUUCUAAAAGGAGAGAGAGAGAGAGAGAGAGAGGUCCGAGCUGAUAGAAUAUGGGAGACGUUGCAUUGUUUGUGGAAGAUUUUAAAUCAAAUCCCGAAACAACAUCACACUGUAGAAUUUGUCACGAAGAAGAAUUCGAAAGCUGUAAUAGCCUGGAAGCUCCUUGUGCUUGCUCCGGUACCGUUAAGGUAGCUAAACGAAACAAAAAACGUUUAUUCCCUUUUUUGGCCCAUGUGGGUCAGUUUUGAUCACGUUAUUGAAUUUUGAUUCGGUAUUUGUUUCAACCAAAUUCAUUUGUUUUUUUACUUUCAGUUUGCUCACAGAGAUUGCAUACAGAGGUGGUGUUACGAGAAGGGAAACACAACUUGUGAAAUCUGUCUCCAGGUUUGUUUUCUAAAUGGAUUAGAACAAGUCACUCUGCUUUAAUAUUGAUUAUUUUUAUCUGUAAUUUGCUCAAGUUAUAUUGAUACUGAGAAGAAGAAAAACAAACAAAAUCUGUCUUCAAAUUUCUGUUCUUUUUUGAUUCAGAGUUUCUUCGAACAAUAUUUUUAUCGUUUCUUGUUCUGUUUUGAAUUGUGGGUAUCUGCAAACUUGUCUCUCUUUUUUUUUUUUUUUUUUUUAUUGGGUUAAAGUCUUCUGCGAUAUUAUUACAGGAAUACGGACCUGGAUACACAGCACCUUCCAAGAAGUCUCAGUUAAUUGAGGCUGCAGUGACAAUUAGGUAAUUACAGUUAUACUGAAUUUGAAGACGCGUGAUUUCUUAAGACUUUCCGCGUUGGAAUUGUUCCCCUUUACUUGAACUAGAAUAAUAUUGCAUUUUAUGUUUAAUUUAUUUACUAAGUUUUUUUAUUGAAAAAAUAAAAAUAAAAAAUAUAACUAAUAUGCCGGACAUGCUGCUUGCUUUACAACUAAUUUUGCAAGUUGCCGCUCAAAUUAAACCUAAACGUGCGCCAAUGUCUCGUCUUGUGUUCUAUUUUUAUUUUAUUUUUUCUGUGUCAACUAACUGGUAUUUUGUGAAAACUCCGACAGAGAUAGCUUGCAAAUUCCGAGAAGAGAACACGUGCCACGAAACCCAAGAUUAGUGGCCAUUGCCGAAAGAUUAUCCGCGGAAUCUCAUUACCCCCAAUGCUCAUCCGCAGCCGGUAGGACCGCCGCGUGCUGCCGGUCGCUGGCUCUCACGGUAUGUUUUUUUAUUCUGCGAAUGGUCAAGCUAUAGAGUUUUUAAUGUUAUUGAUAGUUAGGUAGAUAAUUUGGCGAAUGUAUGCUUUUAUUAUUUGUAUGAUCAACACCACUUUUGGUGCUAUUGGUUUGUUUUGGCAGUUCACGGUCCUUUUGCUUGUGAAACACCUCUUUGCUGUACUUACCGGGAACACCGAUGAUUACCCAUUCGCACUUGUCACUGUAAGAAUCUGCUGUUUGUUGGCACGUCAACAAUCACUAUCAUCUCAAGUAUCUGUGUCAUUUGGUUUUUACGUUGUCUUGACUCUUGAAAUUAUUUUUACAGAUACUUCUUCUAAGAGCUUGUGGAAUUAUACUCCCUAUGUAUGUAUUGAUGAGAACAAUCACAGCCAUUCAUAACAGCAUCCGGAGGGAAUAUCAUCAUGUUAGUUUAGUUUUUUUUUUUUUUUUUUUUUUUUGGUCGCUCCCCCCAAAAGAACACACCAACUAAACUAAUGUAUUAACUACUUAAUUAUAAGGUAGCCGUGACUGAGCCAACAUUUUAUCUACAUUUCAGGUUACGUAUGAUGAUGAAACCUCGAAUUCUGAUGAAGAAGAAGAUGAUGAUGAUGAUGAUGAAGAAGAGGAACAAUUGGAUCCGCGUCAUUCGGUGUGAACACUUAUUAGUUUCAUUUGUAUCAGGGCAGUUAACCAAUGCUCGAUUUUUGGGAAUUCCCACGUUUUGUGGGCAUGCCAUGAAUAUAAACAAAAAUCGCAGAAAUUCUUUCGUCCAUAAAAAGCCCACGCACUCCUCCGCUGUCCCACUACUGAUAAUUGAAUUUUGACGUUCAGAUCGCUUCUUGUUUUUCUCCCCAUUAAUCUCUCUUUAUUUUUCAAAUUUAAUUAUGAAUAAAAUACAAAUGAUUUGAUUGUGAACAUCCAAAUUGAAAAAUUAAUUUCAAUUGCUUAUUUAAGAAACGACUAGGAAAAGGGAAAAAAAAAAGAAAACAAAAAGAAAAUCAUUGUCACUCUUUCUGCCUCAUAGACCUGGGAAGGGCAAAUACUUACAGUUUUCAAAGCAGGAUAUUUGAAUGAUGAACCAAAUUCUUUAACCUUUACAAAAAGGGCGAAGGCAUAACGACGUUGAGCGUAUUUCGGGUGCAACAACGACGCUACAGCCAUUUACCCUGGGUGUCUGAGAGCACGACUACUUUGUCCAAUCAACGUUGGCCGUACGAUUUUCUAACACUGGCGGCUAAUAUACAAAUGGCAGGUCAAUCUAAAUUACAAAAAUGCUGAACAGCUUGGAAUUAAAGCUGUUGAAUCUUAUCUAACUUACAUUGCUACAUGCUUGAGAUUUCAGCUUCACUCACCCUUGGAUGAUCCUAGAAACUGAAAACAAAUGCCUCCUGUGAGAAAAGUUCUCUGAAUACCACAAUGAUGUCAUAUAUACAAGCAGAUGCUGAUGUCAAAUUUAACAGGAUUCCUCAGUUUUGUUGUGUAAAAAAUAGUCUUGCUUGACGCUGCAUUUCUGUGAGGCUGGUAACACCAUCACCCUCCGAAGACUUCUGACAACUUAAGUUUGCAGUGAAACUGAGCAAACUUUGGAUCAAGACCACCAUAUGGUCAACACAAUGGUCUGCAGGCAAAUUUUCUUCAGAUUCCUUCUUGUGCUUACCAUAUAUAGCCUCAAACUCUGUGGACUUUGCAACAGCUUUUUGAAGUACUUUGUCGGGAAGUCCUGAAAUGGUUACUAGUAAGUGCUUAAGAUUCUGCAUUUCUGCUAUUGACUAGGUAAGAAAUUCAGAUUCACAGUUUGAAAAUGCCAGUGUCCAGUGUGCAAAUUUUUAAUUUCUAUAUGUAAUGAACCAAAAGAUACUUCCUGGCACAUUAAUGACAAACUAUCCAUAAAAUAUUUUCUUGGUAUCCCUGUUGAUUCUAUUUAUUUUUCCAAAUUUUUUAAGCAUAGAGAUCAAAACAAACUGAAUGGUACAGUUCUUGAUGCUACUAUGAAUCACUUCAACAGCCACUAAAUUGCAUGAUCACCACCAUAGGCUCUUGUUUGGUGGGACUAAUAGAUGACAACAGAAAGCAAAGAACCUCACCAGCUAGUCGUGCAACAUUGACGCCAUAGCUUUUGGGACAUGCACCGGGGCUCAACCUAUAAAGAAAUGUAACUUCUUCCACACCUCCAACUCCAUUUCCGACUUGGCAAGCCAUAUGACAGAGCGAGACCUGCACAAAACAUUAAAGAUAAAUAAUCACACAACAAAACUCAAAGAUUUUAUUGAUUAAAGAAAGGCUAAGACGUUCAUCUUGAUAAAUUUUAAACUGAGAAGAGAGGCUCAUGCAUUUUUCAAUCCAUCGAUAAUUUAUGAACCCAUUUAUUAGAGACAACCUUGGCGGGUGAUCAAUAAUAAGUCUAGUGUAAAGGCAGCCAUGAAGUUAAAAAGAUUCAGUUUCAAGCAAAUUUAACAGUCAGAACAUACAGAAGCAUACCCUGGGGUCUUUCUUAUAGUCUACAGCUAAGCGGUGAUAGUGAGUUGAAAACAAUCCACGGCAUUGCACUUUAUGAACAAAGUGCUCAAGAACUGACUCCCUGCCAAGGAUUGAAACCCAGAAGAAAAAACACUGAAAAACUAGAUAGUAAACUGAAAUUUCAAAGAAAAUGCAGCAUUGGUGAGAGGAACAAUCAUUGUAGGUUGAAAGGCUUAUUAUAAAAAGGCAACUUAAAAUAUCCAUGAUGACUGAAACUUACGCAAUGGCUUGUCCAUCUGAAGUCGAUGUCCCACGUCCAAGUUCAUCUAGCACCACCAAUGAAUUACGAGUUGCUGAUGACUGCAAUAGCCAUAUUAGAUGAGUGCAGAGUAAAAUGCUUAAAUACUCAAAUCACUAGAGAUCUAUAACCAAAAGAUCGAAUUGCUGAUUUGGGACCUGUCAGACAUUUCUAAUGCAAAUGAAAAAUAUAAGGGAACUCAUAAGGAAAAAGAACCUGUAUAUUGAUGUUUAGCAUGAAAUGGCAGAAAAAUAAUAAAGGAAAAAGUACAUAUUCAGACUAAACCAAACUAUCUACCAGCCUAACAGAAAAAUGCAAGGAAAAUCAGUGAUAGUUUGUUAUGUUUUCCAAAACUUGUUUAUCUAUAAGUUGCAAAAAGGUCAAGAAUAUAAAACACAUUCAUCAACUUCCACAUUUUUCUCGUAAGCCUUUUCAUGUCCCCUUUCUCCCACAUUUCAAUACUUGUACAAAUGAUGAUGAAUAUACCUACAAAGUUGGUUUAGGCUACAAAAGAAUCUCACCAGCAUUAAUGCAGUUUCUGAAAGCUCAGUCAAAAAGGUACUCUGGCCUGCCAUAAUAUGAUCUUUAGCACCCAUUCGAACAAAGAUUCGGUCAACAGGUGAAAUUUCAAAUAUUUCUGCCGGGACAUCUGCUCCUACCUGGAGAAGAAUCAAAGGUAUAGAUUACAGAAUAGCACAAGGAACCGCCCAGUACCCAGGCAAUCUCAAUAUUUAAGAAGAACAAACCUGAGCCAAGAUUACAGCUAAGCACACUUGGCGAAGAAGGGUUGAUUUUCCUCCCAUGUUAGGACCAGUAAGGAGUAUGAAACUGGCAUUGCCAUGACCACCUAUGGUAAUAUCAUUGGGAACGAAUUCACCCUUGCCUAAGGAAUCACUUCUAAGAACAGGAUGUCCUAAACUUUUAGCAGAAAUGUAUGGCUCUUCAUUUGAACAUGAGUCUAAGAUAACAGGACGGCAUGUUGGCCCUUCAUAAAAGUCACUUGCAAUAGCCAAACUGAUUAGAGCAUCCAGUUCUGCAACAUGUGUCAGCCGAUAUCAACCUUUAAACCGAAUACAAAUUGUGGAAAAUGUAAAUUUUCUUUCUACUCUUCAAUAAAAUAAUGCCUUGAACCCAUAAAUAAUUUUCUUGUACAGAAUAUUAGAAUGAAGAAAAUAAAAAUUAAGGAAACUAUGUAAGCCUAAAAAAAAAAUAAUAAAGAAACUAUGGUGGAGUAACACAAUUUUGGUUGGGGAGCACUUCAAGAAGUAAGCUUCAACAGAACAAGAAAUAAGUUAAAAACGAAAAAAGAGGGACAAUCAGUUUGUAACACAUGCCGAUACAACAAUACAACCAUUAACAAAUACCUCUUUUGGUAAAAAAAAGUGAUGAGGUCUCUUCAGAGAAGAAAAUAAAUUAUCUACAGUUGACAAACUAAUUCAUUUCGAAGGAACAGCUAUUGGAUUGCAGGAUUAAGAAUGCAUGCAAUAAGCUCCCAUCCAAUAAAAUAAGUGUCAAACCUGCUGUUGCCGCAACCAUCUGUCUCCACUUAUUAUGGUGUUCACAAAACUGUCCAAUCAACCUCUGCAAAAUGCUCUUCAAUGCUGACUCCUUUUCAGACUCAGCUUGUGAGAGCUCUCCCAACAAUUUCUUAAUGUUUGGAGUCCAGUACCUGAAGAAACCCUGCUUGAAACAGAUGAAAAGCCAAACAGAAAAUUCGGCAUAAGGUCAUGCCAGCAAAUGCAGAUUUAGAACUACUCUUGACUAAGUCAAUAAUCAUGGCAACAGAUAACACCUUAAUUACAAUACAAGCAGCCUUCCUUUCUAAUUAAAAUUCUCAAUAGGCUGAUGUCAAGAUUAAUGGACAGGUAUAGUAUCAGAAGGCAUGACUCCUCCGAUUUGGAACUACACAGUUCUGGCGUGGCAUGAUGGACAUAAUGAAACGAUUACAACUUACAGAUGUCAAAUGAGAAAGAAAUGUAACCCAUGUCCUCAUGGGAAGAAUAUCCACAUUGUAAGCUUAAGGUCCACUACCACAUUAAAUUCUGAGUAUACCCACCACCCCCCCCCCCCCCCCAAAAAAAAGGAGAGUACUGGGUCACAACCAAAGCAAUAGAAGGACAGAACUUUGAUAAUUUAAUUUGUCCAGAUGCAACAAAUUCAUCUUAAAUGCAGAGACAUACAAUAUAUUUUUGUUCUUCAAGUUCUGUGCUUAAUGAUAAUCACCUUUUUGGAUGAUCGUAACUCAUAAUCACGGGGAACACUCCCACGCAAACUUUCUGGUACCUCUAGCAAGUAAAGAUCUUUGCCAAUGGUGACAUAAGUGAUCUGUUCCACAUCAUAAGAGAAGUUUUCAAUUUAUUAAGACGAAAAAAUUCUGUGAAGCACACCACUGAAAGAUUAAAGAUCAAUAGACUUCCAGAAAAGUUCUUACUGAUGUGUCUCCAAGUAACUUCCUUUGCUCCUUGAGGUGUUUAGUUAAACUUGCUUCUAUCUCCUUAACUUUUUUACAGGCAGAGUCAUAGUCCAUAUCAACGCCACCAUGAGGUAUUAUACGACCAGAAUUAUUGGCUUCCACCCAAUCAAAGGCAUCCUUGAAAUGUUUCAGUAUUGAAACGAUAGCAGGAAGACCUUUGCCUGCACAAAAUAAAAGUUGGGAGGUCAAAAAUGAAUUGUGGCAUAGUUAAAAAUCACGCCACUCAUACCAGGAGUUAAUAUAUGAUGUAGCUGUCUAGACUCAGUAUUUUCCAAAAUGGCACCCAGCGAUGAACAUGCUUGAUCCAUUAACUCGCAACCAUGUAAAGCUGAUAUAAACUCUUGAAGCUGCUUCUUUGCUGCAUCCUCGUAUAAAACUACUUUAUUUGAAUUUCUUCCAUUAGCUUCACUGUGUUUGAUCAACAAAAUAAUACAUAAAUGGUUUUAUAUAAUCUUCAGGAGUUCAAAACAAAAUAACUGAUAUAUUCCUGAUAUAUUCGAACUAGUGCAUGUGAAAUUCUUUCUAAGCUUUUACCUACUGGCAAAGAGGCGAGCAAGUAAGCGCUCCAUAUCUGGUAGCCUGGACAAGGCUUUUCGAAAUUCCAGUGCAAAAGGUUGAUUUACCCCCUAUAAAGGAUGUAAGAUAUCAAUCAAAAUACAAGUAUAUUAAAUAUCACCAAAUUUACUAGCUAUUCAGCUCAAUCCAUCGUGAGAAUACAAUGCAAUGCCCCGAAGCAUAUUGUUUAGUUCAAUCCAGGAUAAAAAAAUUGAAAAUAAGACAAAGGAUUUAUCAAAAAUCAGGUGCAGGAAUGCUAAUAUAAAUUCAAAUAGAAAUUGCCCUGGUGACAACAAACACAAGAAAAAUAUAGCAACAACAUCCGAUUCCAUGGACUCAGACAUUCUGUUUAAAUGAAAACGAAAGAAAGAAUUAUCCAGAAAACUAUUUCAUAAUUAGAAGCAUGAAUAGCAGUAAACAAAGAAACAGAAAACCCACCCGUAAACCAGCAACAGCAUCCUGUCGUUCCCUUAUUAAUCCUGAAUUAUAUAAAGGCCUGGCUAGCCAUGUCCUCAGCAACCUCUUCCCGAAUGCUGUCACACAAUGAUUCAACUGUGUGUACAGCGUUCUUCAGGGGCAAAUAAAUCAGUUUAAAGUGAGAUGAAAAUGGCAAUAACAUGCAAUAGUAUGACAUUAAAUAGCCCAUGACAAGCUUACCCUGAAGAGUCUCCACUUCUACUGUUCUCAAAAACCUCAAGGUUCUCCAAGGCAGGAGCAUCAAGAACCAUGUAUGGUUUUUUGGCCAUAUCCCCAAAGCCAGAGCAUGGAAGUAAUUCAAACUUUGCAAAUCUAAGCAAUGUCUCAUCUAGAAAAGACUGCUUUAGAUAAAACAGAGUGCCUCCAAGAGCUGAAAGCACUUGGCUUCCACUGUCACCAGUGCUUAUUAGCUCUGACAAAAUGUCGGGAAGGCAGGUCAACCCAUCUCCUUCUGCCUGAGAAUUAGCAACAUUGGAAUCUGCUUUGUUUAAAGAUUCAGCAGUUAUCCUCUUAUAGAUAUUUUUGAUCUCCAGAACAGUCGUUUCAGCAUCCCAAAAUUCUGAGAGAGGGACCAAAUCAUUCACCAACGGAUUUCUUGUAUGUCUCAGGAUUGCUCUUUCAGUUUCAGGACUGAGCAUAUUUGCAGGUUUUAUAAUUUCUACAGGCCUUAGCUCAGAUAACAGGCAACACAACACACUGCAGUCUAAAUCAUCCAUAACCUGGUUGAAGGGAGAAGCAUACAUGGUCAACUUGGGACUUCAGAUUAACAUUCACAUCCAAGAAUGAGAGAUAUAAAAUAAGGAGGGGUCUUGACACAUUAAAAUCUACACCCAAACCUGUCCAAGAAUUAUCCUGCUGGUAGCAACAUCAACCACACAGAUACCAAAACAACGGUCAGUGCUUUGGCUUGCGGGGCUCUGGUUGCUUUCAGUCAGUGCCAUCAGGUAAGAAGCAUCUGGAUUUGCUGACAGCAAUUCUCCCUCAGUUAGUGUUCCUUUUGUAACUACUGCACAUAUUUCACGUUUCACCACCUACAAACAAUGGGAAAAAAAUGUUAAGAACUUUUAUUUUUCUUUUUCUCUUUUCCAAUUUUAUGUACCAAAUUUGACAUGAGAAAUCUGAAGAUAUAAUGGCAAAGAAAGAAUUGCCUAGGUAGUAUGUGGCAAUUUCUAGAUUUGACUUGUGUAUCUGACUACUAGAGGUGACAUAGUGAUCAGCAAAUAAUAUUUUAGUUAGCAUAAAUAUUACAAAAGUAAAUGUAUAUCUAGAAUCCUUAUUCAGUAGCCAAUUCUUGGAAAAGGUAAAAGAAUAUUUGAUAGCUAGAAACGAAAGACCCAAAAAACCUAGAAUUCUUAAAUAAAUAAAUCAACAGACCUUAUCUUUAGAACCUUUCUCUUUUCGACGAAGCUCUAACUGUUCAGGUGUUUCAGUUUGCUCUACGACAAGAACCCGAUAGCCCUGCUCUGUCAAGAUAGCUCAAAUGAAAUUUUGCGGAAUACAAAAGGUGUUCAUAAAAGAGAAGAAAAACCCUCAACCUUUCUUGCCAAUUUCUCCACAUUCAUCGAGAAGUUCCUCUCUGGAAAUCCACAAUGAGGUUGUUCUCCCUAAGAAAUGAUGGAUAUUAAUUAUUACUUGAGAAGAGCUUAACAAACCAUGAAUCUAAAAGAGAUAUCCACUUUUUACAGCCGAGAUUAGCCCACAAAUGUUUUUAGCUAAUGAAUUUCUUCUUUCUAACUACUGCGGCAAAUGUCCUCCACAAAAUUAUAGAUCAAAAGAUAUAACAAGUUUACUUAACCGAAUUCCUCCAAAUGAAUUCAUACCUUCAUAUACUGCAAGUCAAGUUCUUUUGCUCCUACAUGCGCAUCCAUUUCAAAAAGUUCAUAAAAUUUGCCCAUCUGCUUGAAUGAAAAAUGAAUGUUAUUUAUUUUAUGGUGCUAAUGACAGUGACAAUUAGGACAACAGAACCCAGCUUUAAUUGAAUGGAGUAAACAGCAGGCAUACCUUAAAAAAGAUAACCUUGUCCAUAUGCUUUGACUUGAACUCCCACCAUUGUUUCUGUAUGAUCACAAAUUGCUACUCAGUGAAUCUAAAGGUGAUUUAUACCUCAGAAAACUUGAAAUAAUAACCGUGCAAAGCUACUACCUGGCCUUCUGAUAAAUUUCUUAAGAAAUCAGGUGGCAAGUAGAGAGUCCUUGGAUCAUAAUAUACAUCUCCAGGGCGUCUUCUUUUUCCAUCCCUGCGGUCUCUGUUUCAGGAUCAAAUCUCAAUUCAGCAGAUAAAUAUAUAUUGCAUGUAUUUUCUACAUACAGUUUACGUAGUAGUUGCAACUAAAGUGGAAGGAACAAUGAUACAACCAAACAACUUUAAAGAGGGAACAAUUAGAAACAAUAGAGUAGCUGCAACUAUCUGAAGGCUGCCACCAAAUAGAGUAGCAACAGCAAAAUGUCACAAACAUACAAAAGGAGUAACUUACAAAAGCUUAAAAGGAAACAAGAAUAUGUAACAAGAGCUUACGGUCCAAGGAAGUGGAACUUGUCCGCUUCACGUGCACUAAAUCUCUCUGAGACAUCACCCAUUACUGGAUUAUCAAAACCAUUAGAUAACUUAUCACCUGCAUCAAAGCAUACUCAGUCAAUAUCCAUCGUAGAUAUCAGAACUUGAUCUUUAUUAGAUGCAAUGGCAUGGCUUCUAGUGAAAUAAUAACAGAAAGUUGAAAAGAAACCAAUUUAGCUUAUUGUGGACAAAGGGUAAGAAGAAAUCAGCAAGACAAUAAAUCUAAAAACAAAUUAAAAUGUAAAUGUAGCUGAAAUAGUUCCUAGUUUUAAAGGAGAGCGAUAAUAAAAAAACCACUAUACUCCACAAAAAUUCCUAUUAAGAUAGGAGCAACAGUCAUAGUAAAGUCAAAAUUAGAAUAGAAAUAAUCUAGAAAGUAGUCUAUGUGGAACACCAACUUAAGAGUCUGAUGAAUCUCCAAUUGCUAUUGCUAUUGCCAUAUUGCCUGCUUAUCUUUUUGUAAGAAAAAUUAUAGAGGCCAUGUUUUCCACAGGCAUGAUGCCACUAUGUCCACAAGAAACUUAAAUUAUACAAACAAUCUGCCCAUAUCUUGCACACUAAUUUCUAGGUAUGAUACAGGGAAGAAAACUAAAUCUCGCAGACCCAAAAACUGUAAAAAGAAAUUAAAUCUAAACAAAACAUAAUCACUUACUCCCAAAAAUCUUCACAGGCUUAAUGAUAGUAGACUUAAAGUCGGCAUUAACUGCAUUUCCAUCACUCUUGCUCUUCUUCACUCCACUUGAUUUCCUUUUCCUUCCUCUCAAAACCUUGUUCUCCCGCUCAUCAACAAGAUCCACUUCCUCAUCCUCACUUACAUCCUCCUUUCCCACAUUCUUGUCCCAAUCAUCAUCACUAGAAUCACUUCUAUCAUCACUUAUCUCAUCCUCUACAUUUUCCAUUUCCUCGUCAUCUUCAACCACCACUUUCUUGAAAGAACCACGGCGAAGUCGUUUCAACAAGCUUACACUCUCUUGGACCCACUCAAUCUUUUCCUUUCCCAAAUCCAACAAUUCAUCUUCGCCAUCGUCGUACUGAACCAAAUGCUUAUUACAUUCCUUAUCAAAAGAUUUCACACAACCUUCGUACCAGGCCUUAUCCAAGGGCCAGUAAACCCUAAUCCUCUUGCGCAAAACAUCUUCACCGUAGGAUUUGGCCGCAGCGGGCGUUGAAGGAGGAGGAGAGGGAGUUUGGCCGAUGACGAGGCGAGAUUUUUUAGGGUUGGAUUGGAGAGGGGACGGGGUGGUCGGGCUAGGGCUUGGACUCGGGCUCCGAUUAUAAUUAGAGUUAGGGUUAGGGUUUGGGUUCGAGUUCGACUUAUUAGGGUUUAAUUUGGAGAUAGUGGGAGAAGGAGACGGCGAAUUAGAUUUAGAAAAAAAGGAAGUAAUUUGGCGCUGUGGAUUGACCAGUGGGGAUCUGCCAUUGUUUUGGCGCUUACCCGGAGCCAUUUUAAUUUUACUGCGGAACAAAAGAGAACAAGAAAUGAAAGCAGAAUAAAGAACAUAUGCCUUCUUUACCUCAUUCAAUCCUUCUGCCUGCUCCUUCAACUUCAAUAGAGGCUACUAGGUGUAGGUGGCGGGAAUGUUUCGAGGAAAAUCCCGGGAAUUUUUUGUUACAGUCAGUUCCAGACCAUUUGGCGGGAAUCUGGGGGCAACGGUGUGUAAUUAGCAAUGUGGGCUCCGCCACUGCACAUAUUGCUUGUAAACUCCAAGGUUCGGCCGUAUUUUCCCAUUGGGCUCUAAUUUUGGUCCUCCAUGGCCCAACCUAAUAUUUGAAUUAAAUCACAGAGCCGACAGGGCCCAAUCUUCCUAGCUGCAAUCCCCAUCCACCUACCGCCACAACCGCACGCUCACGCCGAUCGAUCAUCUAUCUUGAUGAUCCCCGCUCUCAGAAAGUGGAGCAGAAUUUCGAUUUUGCUUGGUCACAGCUUAGAUUCUCAAUCCCAUUACUCAACUCUUUCAAGGUCGUAUGGGAAUGGGUAUGGCCAACUCUACUCGACCACCACCGAGCUACUCUCUCUCAAUCAGAGACAAAGACGAGGAGCGAAACGAGUUCACGGCGACGGCGGAGCCAAAUGUUCUCGUGGUAGCACUCUGUCCUUGUCUCGUUUGCUUCAUUAUUCUUCUUAUUGUAGUCUCUAUCGUUCUCAUUGUCAAGUUCCGUGUCUUUUGCCACACUCCUCUUCACUCCAUUCUUUACAAAAAGUACUGCUAAAUAAAUCUACGAAUGUUGUUGCUUCUUCAUUGACCAAUCACAAUUUAGCUACCAAUAUUCUGGAUUCGAAUUUUGUGAAUUAUAGGAACGUUUCUAGUGUUACAGAUGAUAAUCAAGAUUCUGAUGGUGACGUGGAAUGUGAUGGGAAUAAUUCUGAAUCUGAAAUUACUAGUGUUAGUUAUAAGUCGACUGCUGAUCCUAGGGAAAUAGAGAGGGUAUGCAAGGUGAUCGACGAACUGUUUUCAUUGGAUCGAAACAUGGAGGCAGUGCUUGAUGAAUGUGGAAUAAAUUUAUCUCAUGAUUUGGUGGUAGAUGUGUUAGAACGGUUUCGGCACACUAGAAGACCAGCUUUUAGGUUCUUUUGUUGGGCAGGGGACAAGCCGGGAUUUGCCCACAAUUCUAGGACUUAUAAUUUGAUGAUGAGUAUAUUAGGAAGGGCUAGACAAUUUGAGACAAUGGUGUCUAUGCUUGAAGAAAUGGGUGAGAAAGGGCUUUUAUCGAUGGAGACGUUUAAGAUUGCUAUGAAUGCUUUUGCUGCUGCCAAGGAGAGGAAGAAAGCAGUUGCUAUUUUUGAGUUGAUGAACAAGUAUAAAUUUAAAGCAGGUGUUGAUACUAUUAAUUGCUUGCUUGAAAAUCUUGGACGGUCAAAGCUUCCUAAGGAAGCCCAACUGCUUUUUGAUAAGUUAAAACAUAGAUUUACACCAAAUUUGACGACUUAUACUGUGCUGCUUGGUGGUUGGUGUAGGGUGAAAAACUUGAUGGAGGCAGGGAGAGUGUGGAAUGAGAUGAUUGAUAAAGGAUUUAAGCCUGACGUUGUUGCACAUAAUAUUAUGCUUGAAGGGUUGUUGAAGAUUGGGAAAAGGUCUGAUGCAAUCAAGUUGUUCGAGGUAAUGAAAGCCAAGGGUCCUUCACCGAACGUAAGGAGUUAUACAAUUAUGAUCUGGAAAUUUUGCAAGCAAAGUAAGAUGAAGGAAGCAGUUGAGUAUUUUGAUGAGAUGCUUAAAUUUGGGUGUCAACCGGAUGCUGCAGUUUACACCUGUUUGAUCACAGGGUUUGGGAAUCGGAGGAGGAUGGACAUUGUAUAUGACUUGUUGAAGGAGAUGGAAGAAAUGGGUUGUCCUCCGGAUGGGCUCACCUACAAUGCACUAAUCAAAUUGAUGAAAAUUCAGAAGAUGCCAGAUGAAGCUGUGAGGAUAUACAAGGAGAUGGUCCGGAGUGGCUUUAAACCAACAAUUCACACUUACAACAUGAUCAUGAAAUCUUACUUCCAGACUGGAAACUAUGAAAUGGGCCGUAAAGUAUGGGACGGGAUGAUUAGAAGGGGGUGCUGCCCUGAUGAUAAUUCCUAUACUGUCCUCAUCGGGGGGCUAAUUAGUCAGGACAGAUCGGGAGAGGCUUAUAAAUACCUAGAAGAAAUGUUGGAGAAAGGAAUGAAAGCUCCAGUGCUUGACUACAACAAGUUUGCAGCUGAUUUGUCUAGAGCCGGUAGAAGUUAUGUACUAGAUGAGUUGGCUCAAAAGAUGAGAUUCUCUGGUAAAUUUGAAGUCUCCAAUGUCUUAGCAAGGUGGGCUGAGACGACAAAGAACAGGGUUUACAGAAAAGAUCGUAUUGAAACUGAUUGAAGGUAUUUGCGGAGGACCAUUGCUACUUGGAUAUUCAGAUGCCACAUGGAUGAUAUAUUGUCUGAUGUUACUUUCCAAGCUUAGCAGAUGAACGGUGCUGAUGUAGCUCAUCAAGUACAGCCAUACUGAUGUUUGUUUGUUUAUUAUUUUUCUACGUACUUGAGUUUAAACUCUGAAGAUUUAUGCAUCCUUGGAUUUUAUAUGAUCAUAUUUUGCAUACAAUGGUUGGUCGACAGCGCUUCUUUUAUUUUUUGAUUGAUUGUUUUAUUAUUGUGCUUUGCAUCUUAUAAUUUGUAGAUUAUGAACAAUAACAACAAAUAACAAUAUGACUUGUUAGAUAUUCUGUCUCUCAAGUACAUGCAUACUGAUGUUUGUUUAUAUGGUUCUAGUUAUUUCAGUUUAAAAUCUGACUAUUAUAUGUAUCCUCUGAUUUUAUUUUAUGUCAUCGGCUAUUAAUUUUCUGCCUUAUUAUGGACAUCCAUUUUACUGGAAGAAAAAUAGAAAGCCAAAUACCUCGAAUCCUUUUUUUUUUUUUUUUCCAUCCUUGCAGACAAACACAAACUACUGUACCAUACCAUUGGCUUUAUUCUUCGUCAUCUAAAAGACUAAAACACGUGAAAAAUAUGACGUUUACACACGCAAGUUUUCUCAUGAUUGAGUUGAUAUCGAAUAGGUUUGGUUUUUAUGAUUUAUGAGUUGGGAUAAUUUUAGUUUUUGAGAGUCAUUGAACCUGUUAUUAUUCUUGGUCCGGAAACAACGACUUAGUAGUACAGACAAUACAAACUUUGAUCAACAUCGAAAGUGGCAAAUCCAACCAAAUCCUUUAAUUUUCCAAAUUACACAUACUAAAAAUUUGAUUCUUGUGAUUGGUAUGAAUCUUGUAUGUCAUGUCCUCUAAUAUAUGAUUAUAUGAACUGUUGUUGCUGAAAUCUGGUCGCCCUUGGCCCGACCAAGUUGACUCACCAACGGUUCUAUUGACAACGAUGAACAAGCUACACUCCACAAGCUCCUUCAAUUACACGGACUCUUGAGACUCAAAUCCCCUCCUUCCUCCUUCAAGACCUGCGUCUACAGAAACAAAUCAUAGAUGCCGGUGAUUUUUCUGGCGAAAACUCUCCAAUGCUUAAGUCAGUAUGCGGGGUUUUCAGGAAAACUAUGUAAUUUAAGUUCGUGCACACUAAUGCCAAGGUUAUCAAAGAAAAGUGUAUUGAAGGCUUUUAUGGAAUAAAGUUCUGGUGCCAAUUUGGCAUAGUUUUCCCUCUUUUUUUUUUUUUUGGUUCCCCUUUUCAAUCUAUUUUCCCAGCUUUUAUAGGUAAUCGCUCCAUGUUCCUAGAACAUUUCCCAUGCCCAGUUAUAUUCGGGUGAUCAAGGGCCUUAACGGGUCACAACAAUCAAACGUGGGUAAACGUGGGGCAUCGUAUUCUUCCUAGCGGUUUGGGGCGUGGCGAAACUGUCGCGUUGUUGCGAGAUCGUGCCCUUUUUUUGAGUGACGAGCUCCUGAUCCGUACCCAUUUCUGGUCGGUAUUUAUUCCAUAAAGAAUAUGCUACCAAGAAUAUGCUCAUACCAUUCAGUCGAGGAGAAUCGUCCCCGGGCAGGAGGUGGGGAUAUGCCGACCAGUACUUUUUAUUACCAACAUGAAUGUCAAUGUCGUGAACAUGAAAUAGAUGACAUGUCGUCUUAUAGCCACUGAUUUUCUUUUUCAGCUUUUUUAUUUAUUUAUUUGAAUGUACCCGUUUUAUUUUAGUUACAUUACAAUCCAUUUAAUAAAAUAUAUGCGGAACCUAAAAAAAAAAAUUAGCGCAGACAGUAACUAUAAUUUUUUUUUCCCAGCUUCUUAAUAAUUUUUGUUGUUUUGUUUUUUUUUAAAUCGAGGGUUAAGGCCUAUUUAUCCUCAACAUAGUUCCACCCUUGGUUAACGCAACAAAUGAAAAUGCCAUUACCAUAAAUUGAAGGGCUAUUCUCAUUCACUGAUUAUUAGAAGAAGCUGACAAUUUAAAGCCAUAUUGAAUUUACGGAAAUAUUGAGCAUGAUGCAUGAAAGGAUCCUUAAACAACAAUAAGAUGUCUUGUAUAAUACCAAGGCUUCAAUAAGAUGUUCCAAUUUUAUUUUUGAAAAAAUAUUAAACAAUGAAUGCUAGAAUAUGCUGAUCGUAAAUGAGAGGAUUUGUUUUAGGAGGAAAAAAAGAAUAAUUGGAUUCAUAUACACUAGAAUCAUAAAGUGAUUACUUUUGAAAAAAAAAUGUAUGAAAAUGAAGUUCUUUUUUAGAGUAAUAAAACCGUUGUUUGUGGGGAAAAAAAAACCAGUACAAAACGGCAACAUUUUGGCCUUCAUAGUAUUCAAUUUCAUUCAGUUCGCAAGUAUUGAUAUGUUUAUAAAGUUAUGAUACAAAAUUUGUGUUAUAAAUGAUGUGGUAUUUAUUCAUUAAUACUCUAAAAUUAUUUCAUUAACAAUAGGACGUAAAAAGUCGACUAUUAUUAAAAAAUGACGGUCAUUGAUUGGCAAUACAUUAUUUGCAAUAAAAACUUUGUAUGUCAAAUUUAUAAGCACAUUGUUUACUCUUUAGAUGUUAGUUUGGUAAUAUUGUAGUUUCAAAAUAAUUGUUGUUAAUUGUACUGUAAAAAUAAUUAAUUGUGAAGAUAAUCAAUUAAAUGAAUGAUAAAAUUUGUUUUUAAAAAUAUUAUAAUUUUUAAAAAUAAUAUUUAGUAAAUCUUACUGUUAAAGUUGCUGUAAAAAUAUAAACGACCGAGUUAUAUAUAACAUUAAAUAAAAUUUAUUCACAUCUUUAAAAAAAAAAAAAAAUCUCAAACCGCCUUUAGUUUUGUGUAAGUAAGUUUGCAACUUAUUCAUUAAAGUUCUUACAUGCGCUGGGGGUGUGUGUCACUUAUGUUGGCCAAAAUCAAUUGUUUGUUGAGAAUGUAAGGAAGCACGGGAAAGUUUGUUUUGAUGGUUCAUGAGUAAAAAAAACCCAGCUUUGUACGCUGGUUAAUGAGCAAUCUUCAGGGUCGCUUCAUUUCUUGAGAGAUACACAGGGAGAGAGAGAGAGAGAGAGAGAGAGAGUUCUCUUGAUGAAAGUUUUUCUCUGUAAGUAAAUUAAAAUGUGGAAUAGCUCUGUAAUCAAAUAAGAAAUCGCGGGGCUUGUUUCUUUUCUUGGAUGGAAGUUGGCCACCUGGUGGCUGAACCAUCAUCAUGAAAUCUGUCGUCUUUGUGAUUUACAAUUGGACAAUACAAAUUUCUGGAAAGAAGGAAAUCUCUGUGCUAUACCAAUUGCAUAAACAAGAAACGAAGUGCGCGCGACUUCUGCUGUUUGAUAUAACUGGAUAAUACAAAUUAUAUAUUGUUGUGCCAAGUGAAUUAGAUUUACUGUCACAACCCAAUUUCAAUGAAAUAAUUAUUCUACCAUAUGGAUAUUUGAUUUAAUAAGUUAGUAAAUAUGUCAAAAAUAUUAUGGUAACAAGCUGUUGAUGGCUAAAUAUACUAAUGUUAGUUAAUUUUGAUUAUGUGUCUAGAUAUGAUGGAUAAAUAAUUAAAUGGACGCGCAAGCGUUAUUAAUGAUAAUGUGCACAGAAAUCCCCUGCUUUUAGUUAAUUUCUUUGAUUUGCCAAAAUUUACUAGUUGUUUUAAUUAGCAUGUAGAUAUCUAUUAUUCCUUUUAUGGAUUUUCCUUUUUUGGCGAAACAGCUAGCCCAUGUUUUCUGGGUAUUUUUUAUCUAGUGAUUUUGUGUAAUACGGUGUGCUAAACAAUUCUUGAUAUCUUUUGCUGGUUUAAUUAAUUUGUGGCUGCAGGUAAAAAAAAGAAAAAGAAAAAGACAAAACUAAUAACGAAAUAGAUAGAGAUAGAGGAAUUAAAAUAAAUAAAAAAAGAUUAAAAUGAAACGGCAAAGCCAACGAUAAAAACUUCGUACGUCCAGAGAGGACUGCGUUGCAUGCGGCUUACGUGGUGCUGCUAAAACAAAGCUUCGGCUGCCAAAUGCUGGCAUUUGAUUCUCGUCACUAUAUUUCUUUUUCGUUAAUUUCAUAGCAAUUUUAUUUUGAAAAAUACCCAAAAAGACCUUAAUCUUUUCACGGUAACAAAGAGAGAAUGCCACUGCCUUCCUUGUAUAUUGAUGGGUAAUUGUGAACGAAAAGUUUACAAUAAUUGAAAAAAUAAGAUUUGCUCAGACCAAGAGCUAGCCCAGCAAUAAAUAAAGCCUUCCCUUUCAGACAAGUUAUUGUCUUAAACAGCAGAAAAAACACCAGCUUCUUUUGUUGAAAUUGAGACAAAAGCUUAAGACACUCCACUUGCUUUUGUCCUAUAACAGUCACAAAAUUUGCGGCUCAGUCUUGCAGGUCCUUUUCUUUCUCUUAAACUACUCAUUUCCUCCAGGAUUUGUUUAAUUUCCCUUUUAUCUAUGGUUAUUAUAUAUAUAUAUAUAUAUUUUUUAAUUUUAUCAUUCUUUUCUUGGCCAUCCCUCUAAAUCAUCAUUUUUUUUUAUAUUUAUAUAGAAAAGAGAUGAAGAGGUUAGUCAUUUGUGCUUAUACAAUACUAAAUCGGACAAUUGAGAUUCAUUAAUUUCCAUAUCAAGUGGAUUUUUCACAUUUUUGGAGUUGUUAUAUACUUAUUUUCUAAUGUUACUUUAGUACAUAUCUUAUCGCAUGUUGAAUGGAUCACUACUUUGAAGAUCUAGGAGUCUGGGACUGGUUACCUUGUGCAUGCAAAAAUCACUUCCGCAUAUAAAAAAAAUUUAAAACAAUUUUCCCUGAUCUCUUUUGAAAUCAAGUAUUUGUGUCUAUUAUUUAUGAUAAAAAUCUUUCUUCAUUUCUAAUGAUUACGGAUCUGAAGAAAGUUGACAUAGAUCGAGUGUUUUGGCAAAUCUACUUGAAAUUUUGGAGAAUCACACACUAAAAGUAGCCAAGGGACUCAAUGGCAUACAUGAUAAAAUUGUCUUUGAGGCCUUGGCAAACAAGUACACUUGAAAUUUUGGAGAAUCUCGCACUACAACUACUAGUAGUCAAGGGGAUUCAAUGACAUACACAAUAAUAGUCUUUUUACUAAUCUUACAAGAAGAUCAUUGAUAUUCUUGUGUAAUAUUUCCAAUUUCUUGUUCAAAACAACAGCUUUAACUUUGUUUUGAAAAGGAAAGACAAUUUAAAAAGAAUUUUGAAUUUAAAUUUCCCGCGUUACAAAUGAUAUUUUAAAGUAUAUGUACUUUUUUUCCCGCGUUCCAACUAAUAAAUAAAAGUAUACUUUUUUUUUUAUCCAGUUUUGUAGCGGUCCAAUUAUAAGAAUAUAUCACAUGCUAAGACGCACGCUCUUAGUGUGUGUAUAUGUGUGAGACAAAGCCACUUGGCUACGUCUUCACAAAUUUAUUUAUUUAAAAAAAUGAGAAAUUUACUUCACUUUCACUUAAAGUCUACAUUUAAAAAAAGAAAAUUUAUUUCUUUAUUGUCUUAAAUUUUACAUUCUUUAUGAAGAAAUUUAUGUAUAUAUUCUCUUAAUUGAUGGUUUUUAAAAAAGAAAAUUUAUUGUUUAUUCUCCAAAUUUCAUUUUUUAAAAAUAUUUUAUUGAUUAUAUAUAUAUAUAUAUAUAUAUAUUUAUUUAUUUAUCAAACAUUAUAAUUUUAAUAUUAUAAAUUCUAAGUUCUCUUAAAACUAAUUAUCUAGUGGUUAAAAUUUCCUUCAAGUCAAAAUAAGGUGAUUUAAAAGAGUUUGUUAAAUAUUCACCUCAGUGUAAUAAUAAUAAUAAUAAUAAUAAUAAUAAUAAUAAUAAUAAUAAACAAAACAAAACUUUACAACCUCAAUGGAAUUGCUUCGAAAUUUUACGUCGUAAUUCACCUUGUAGAAAGAUCCUAAGGCAAGUUCAUCGGAGCAACAGCCAGAAGAGGGUUCAUCAAAAUUAUAGCAUAGAUUAGAUAAUUUAAUCCAACGGUUAAAUAUAAUUUUGCAAUGCCUAAAGGGGUAGGGGGUUGCUGUGACUCCCUACAUGGAAACGGUAACACUAAAACGCUACAACAUUAAACCCAAAAUCUUAUUAAAGAUUUGCUUCCGGAAUCAUUACCCUGAUAAGUAAUUAUGGAAGUUAAUAUAUUAUUGAGAGCAAGAACCCUUACAUAUCAUGUAUGUGUGAAGAAUAUUUCUUUUUUUACUUUUACAUGCUCCAAUUCGCAAUUUACCAUGAGAUCGCAGAAAUAUAUUACUCUUGGGUUGAUCUCAACUUUGAAGAAGAUGACGCUCAGCUCAUUGAUAGCGGCUCGGCCUGUUCUUUUCUUCAUCAUUCUGGUGAGUCUACUUUGCAACUCUAUAAUUACUUCUUAUUCCUUCUUAACCGACUUUUGUAAAUUUCAAUUGAUGGAGAGGGAAACACGAAGAAGAAGAAAAAGAAAGAAAAACUAAAUUCCGCUUCAGUUGAAACUGCAUGUCUUGUAAAACUAUUGCGAUGAUUUUGAUUUUCUCUCAUGCAUCUGACAUCUAUUCCGUAAUAAUUUAAAUAUUGAUUUCUUUGAUAAUAUUGUCAUCAUCACGUGAAUUACCUUGGACAUUAAUGCAGGCACUCUCAGUGUUGCUGCUCCCAGCUUCACUAAUCCCAUAUUGGUAUAAGAUGACCAAACAUAUCGAGGAAGACGUGGCUUUGAGCUCCAACCAAUUGCACUCAGCAAUGCAAUCUCAAAUUGAGUGCAUAGCAACACUGCUGCAUCCUAUAAGUUCAUCGGCUACAAAUUUAGCAAGAUUGAUAAGUUCAUCUCUCAAUAAUGGAACUGAACUCUCAUUCUCCGAGAUCGAGACUAAGGUUAGUGUAAGCUAACUUAAUUUCACAAUCAUUAGUCAAUUUGAGGGACUAAUUGUGAUGAAAAUAUUUGUUAAAAUAUUAUAUGUAGGUGGCACCUUCAUUGUUUCAAGCAUUCUUGACAACUCCUCACGCGUCACAGAUUUCAUAUAUUGGAUUGGAUGGUCUUUUUUUUGGCUACUAUGUUGACGGCAACCAAACCCUAGCAUUGUACUCCAACUCUUCAUUUUCUCCGAACCCGAAUGGUUUCCCAAUUGCAAAAGGGAAGUACACAUGGUACAAACAGCCCGUGGAUCGCGACACGGGAAAGCUUUAUGGAGAAGCCAUUGUGACUAAGCCCUCGAGUGUAACCAAAAGCACCUGGUUUCUUAAAGCUUUAAAUAGUACAGAUGGACUAGGCUCUUUAGGAACUGGAUGGAGUAAAGCUCGAGAUGCUUUAUUUCUUAACACUGCUGGUAUAAACGGAACAAGAGGAGCUGUCUCGUUAGGGUUUCCAGUCAAGCCAGUUACCAAUUUAUUUACUGACAUAAAUCUUUACGGUGGGAGGCUAUUAAUAGCAACAAACGAUGGGGAAGUGUUGGUGCCAGGGCUUCCAAAUACUCGGAUGACCAUUGUGAACAACUCAAUUUCCUUCCAAUUGAUCACGAACACAAAGACUAGGGCACAACAAAUGAAUCCUGUUAAGAAUGUUUCAUGCACGUCCGGUAACGGAACGUUAUCUAUUGGUGAAAUAGAUUACAAGGUUUACUGUUCACAAUUUGAAGUCGCGGGUGUGAAAUCGGUAUGUUCUAUACAUGUGAUUGCUUGAUAUUUUUAAAUCUUGAGCAUGAUCUGCUAAUUACUGAACAUUUUGUGUUUGUGUAUCGUGAUUAACUAGGUUUAUUCGCUGGCCAUGCCGCGCAAAGGAUUGGUCAGCCUUGUACACAGAACUAGCAAGCGUGCUCUCAUUCUCCUUAUCGUAAUGACUGCUGGCGUUCUAAUUUCCAUGUUGACUUUUGUUUUCAAAUCGGCUAGAGCUGCCAGAAAGGAGAUGCAUUUGUGUGCCUCGCUCAUUAAGCAAAUGGAGGCGACACAGCAAGCGGAAAGAAAGAGUAUGAAUAAGAGUCUUGCCUUUGCAAACGCCAGUCACGAUAUUCGAGCUGCCUUAGCCGGGAUUACUGGUCUGAUUGAGUUAUGCUAUGUAGAAGCCGGUCCUGGUUCCGAGUUGGAGACUAACUUAAGACAAAUGAAUGUUUGUGCGAAUGACCUAUUGGGUAAGUUUGUUCUUUAAAUCUCUAUUUAUUUGUUAAUUCAUUUAUAUUUAUCUUUUAGUAACUCAUGAUGUAAUAGAAAGAUGUUAGUAUUUUAGAAACUGCGGGGAGCUUAGCAUUAACUAGUACAGUACUUGUGUACACUUGAGCUUGCUAAAAUUAUUGUUAUUUUAAUUUUUUAGGUUUAUUGAAUUCUAUUCUUGACACAAGCAAAGUUGAAGCUGGAAAAAUGCAACUUAUAGAAGAAGAUUUCGAUGUGGGUGAACUACUUGAGGAUGUUGUUGACUUGUUUCAUCCUGUUGCUAUGAGAAAAGGAGUAGAGGUGGUCUUGGAUCCUAGUGAUGGCUCGGUGCUUAAGUUUUCAAAGGUUAAAGGUGAUAGGGUAAAACUGAAGCAAAUAUUAUCAAACUUACUAAGCAAUGCAGUUAAGUUUACUGCUGAGGGUCACAUCUCAGUUCGAGCUUGUGUUAAGAAGCCUAGUGCAAUAGGAAAUUCGUCGCUCUCUUCUAGCCGCCACGGUUUCUUACAAUCAAUAUCCAGCUUGUUUUACAAGAACAAGAAAGCACGCGGUGAUUUGGAAGCAGUGAAUGCAGCUCAGAGAGGUGAAAAUGCUAUGGAAUUUACUUUCGAGGUGGAUGAUACAGGUAAAGGAAUUCCCAAAGAAAAGAGAAAGACGGUGUUUGAGAAUUAUGUUCAGGUCAAAGAAGGAGAAGGAGGCACCGGCUUAGGACUUGGCAUCGUUCAGUCUCUGGUACGUAAAUAAAAAUUGAUAUACAUGUGUGUGAAUACAUUACUAUCUCUUCAUCAAUUAUAUAUACUUUUGGGAUUAAUUUUAGCUCAGUGAAAGAACAUCUCAUCUGUAUUCUGAAACUGCAGGUUCGUCUCAUGGGCGGAGACAUAGAGAUUGUGGAUAAAGAGAACGGCGAGAGAGGAACUUGCUUUAGGUUCAAUGUUUUCCUUGCAAUACGUGAGGCUUCCGCUAAUGAUAAUAAUACACAAGGAGACAAAGAGUUGGCUGCUGGUGAUUCCGCAGCCGGUGACACUCAAUUACAGCACAUGAAUUUGACCGUUAAAGCUCCUAGUCCUAGCCUGAGCAUUCGCACUAACAGCCCCAGGCUAAAUAUUCUGAGCCCUGGUUCCAGGCAUGAGGGAUCCCAUGUUGUGCUCUUGAUUGCAAACGAAGAGCGGCGAAGAAUUGCACAAAAGUUCAUGGAGAAUCUUGGGAUUAAUGUAUCGGCUGUAAGUCGGUGGGAGCGCCUUCAUUCGACCCUCAAGAGGUUGAAAUCAAAGUUCGGCAGCAUCCAUUCCCCUCACAGUUCUUUGGGAAAGUCAGAUCUAAGUUCAAGGAGUGACAGUGAAAGUGCAAGUUUUAAAGAGGUGCCGUUAAGUGCCAUGGAAGGAACCGAGCAUAAACUGCAGGGAUACAAACGGAGAGGCGCACCGAGCUUCAUACUUCUUGUUAUUGAUGCUACCGCCGGACCGUUUUUGGAGCUUUUCAAUAUUGUGGCUGAAUUUAGAAGAGACCUUCAAUGCAACUGCAAGGUUGUUUGGUUAGAUAAGCCAACUUCACGCAGCAUUAAUUUUGAUGGCCUUGAAGACGAGACGAUGGAUCCAAAUGAUGAUGUUCUGCUGAAACCUUUUCAUGGAUCCCGUCUGUAUAAAGUCAUAAAACUUUUGCCAGAAUUUGGAGGCGUUCAAUCGAAAAGUCAUGGGAAAGCUUCUAGAGACGCCGGUUCCUCGUCAUAUUCAAAGCAUCCUUACAGAACGGGAAAAUCAAGAAGCAAAGCGGGUCGUCAUGAGAUACAAGAGGAGGGUAGCUCGAGCAGUGAACAUUCGAGGAGGGAUAUUAUGCCAAAUGCUUCUGUUCUGCUCAAAACGGGAAAUUCUUCGGGUGAAGGACCGAGCUCGAGGUAUAAGCAAACCGAAAUAGAGGAAGAGGACGGUGAAACAAGUCAAGCUCAAAAACCCUUGAGAGGGAAGAAAAUCUUGGUAGCCGACGACAGUAUGAUGCUUAGAAGAGUGGCCGAGAUUAAUCUUAGGCAUCUUGGUGCUACCGUUGAGGCUUGCGAAAAUGGAGAAGCAGCUUUGCAACUAGUUCGCAGUGGCCUAAAAGAUCAAAGAGAUCUUGGUGCUCCUCACAUUCUGCCUUAUGACUACAUAUUAAUGGACUGCGAGGUAGUGACACUGCUUCUAUCAAUGUUAGAUUUACAGAGCAUCUGUUUUACAGUCUGGUACGGCAUAUGUUAAUUUACAUUGCAUUAAACUAAUUGUGAUUCUAACUAAAAUUAUCUAUAACUUCACUUGUUUGCUAGAUGCCGAUAAUGAACGGGUAUGAAGCAACGAGAAAAAUUCGAGAGGAGGAGAAACGCAACCAAGUUCAUAUCCCAAUCAUUGCAUUGACUGCCCAUAUCUCUGGUGAAGAAGCUGAUAAAACCAUUGAGGCUGGAAUGGACGUCCAUUUAGGCAAGCCUCUGAACAGAGAUCAUCUGAUGGAAGCCAUCAAAUACUUACAGCGCAAACUACCUUGUUCAUCAUAGUGUAUUUGUCCCGUGCAAAUAACACAAAUAUGCUAGCUCAGUAGUCAUGACCUUUUUGCUGUUGGCUCUGUGAAAACGACCUUCUCGCUGCUGGCUUUGUUUUCGUUAAACAAAAAUGAUAGCGUCUAGUGUUAAUGCAUAUAUGUAUAUACAACUCUGUGUUAAAUGGUAAUGACCAUUUCGUUGCUAGUUCUGAUAAACAAUAAGACAUGGAUGCAUGAAACUUUUAGGUAACUAGCAAUUCUUCAAACCUAUUUUGAGUUGGGUAGAAGCAGUGAUUGCUGCAAGGACAAUGAGCUAAGUCAUUGACGUUGAUUCAAAUGGAACCAAAAGGAUGUAGUUUCAUCAGUUAGCAUCACCUAGGUGAGUUUGGAAUAUUGCUGGAGAGAGUGAUGCAGCUCAGAUUUAAUUUGGUCCUGCUAUGACAGAGAAGAUUGAUGAGUAGCUGAAUUGCAAUGUACAGUAUUGGAAAUGCAGGACUAACAAAAUCUUAAUUCAGUAAACAAAGCAUCUAUAGAAAGUGAAAAUGAAAAUUAGUCAAAGAGUAAUUUAGCAUAAAAUCUCUAGGCAUCAAAUGGGAAGAAUAUUAUGGUUCUUGAUCUUGCACGCGCUACAGCUAAGACGGUAUUACAGAUAUCAGAAAAGAAUUCCCAUACAAAUUUUGGGUUUGCACCGAGAAGUAGAGAUAGUUCUAAGUUAUUUUUGUUUUCUUUGACUUCACAUGAGGCUUCUCAGGGACAUCCGUAUCUUCUUCAGAAGCGCUUUCAACUAAAUCAUCAGGAACAUCAUUAGGAACAUUGUGCUCGGUAAUGAAGUCUUUCAAUAUGCUCAUGCUUUGCUCUUUCAUGGAAACCAACUGCUCUGAAAUACUAUCCUUGUUUAUUGCAUUGAUAGAAUGUACCUCUGACCCAAGGCGAAGUGUACAUACAACACGAGACUUAGGAGGAAUCACAUCGCCACAUUGAACCUCCAUUCACUGCAAAUGUUAUCGUAAUCAGCUCACUGAAAGAUGUAACCUUUUCAUUUUUAAUUUUAUGAAUCAUAAAUUAUUUUGAAAGGAUUAAUAAAAAAGAGAUGACAGCAAGCUUAGUUUCACAAACAGAUAUUCAAAAACAUGCAACCUUCAAAUCAGAGUGCUUUAGUUGACGCAAUUGGAACAUGAUGCGUCUAAGCUGACACAAGCUCAUAAUGCACAAAAGUUGCUCCAUCUACUUACUACCCAUAAACAGCUCCGAAAGAAUAGAAAAAUUAAUAUGAAAAAUACAACUGGCAAACAAUUUUAAGCGACAGCAUAUUACUCGUAUAAAAGAUAGAUUUCAAUUAAAAUAAUAAAAAACCUCAAAAGCCUCUCAUAUGUCAACCUAAUUCAAUUUUCAGUCGGCAGAAACUAGAUAUAAAGAAAACAAUAUGUCUGAAACAGACCCAGUAAGGCGCUAAUCAUAGUUUCGCAAUUUAAUUUCGAGCUACUGUCUCAUUUCUCCCGCAGCUAAGCAAUUUUACUAAAAAAGAAUAUGCAAAAUCAAUAUUUCAAUUACACAAAUUUAUGGUCAGUAUAAGAAUAUUAAAAAAAAAAGCAAAAAUGAAAAAAAAACCAGUGAAAGAACAACUGACCAAUUAACGGCGUUGAGUCCUAUAUAUGUGGGAACUAGGAUGCCGGGAAGUAGCAAGUCGGCGGACUAGAACCAGAGGUUUUUUAAGUUUUGAGCAAGAAUUAUUCUGAAGCGUUCCCGUAGUCCCAACAGGUUUUAACUUUUAAAGCUUAACAUGUACCUCCUCUAAAGUUUUCUAAAUUGCAUCUAUCGCCCAUAUCUCUUUACUUUUUCCUUUUCCGUACUUUUUGUGAAUGGGAUAUUGAGGUGCGUGAGCCGAGCCGGCAACAGACGAUCCAAUUCUCUCUCUCUUUUUUUUUUUUUUUUAAAGUAUUCCAUCUAAAAUAGAUUGAGACUAUUUGAUGGCCAUAGGCUCAGCAAUUUCUUUUCACACCAGGACUAAUACGAGCUUCCCAAUUAUCUCCCAAACAUACAAGUAUUUUCUUUCUAUUUUAAUCCUUUUAAGUGAAGACAUAACUCCGUUUUUGGAGAUGGCUUUUGCUUAACAAAGCUCCCACGGUCGGUUGAUCAUUGAUGAUAGAAGAGUAAACUUCUUUCUCAUUUUAUGCUUUCUUAAAUUCCCAAGAUGAAUGAAAUCAUUGCCACAAUGAUUAAUAUUAACAUUCGUCCAUGCUAGAGUCAAUCUCACAGACGCAUUAUUAGAUUGAUUUUAUUAUUAAAUUAGGAUCAUAAUACCACUUUAAUGAAAUCACAAUCUUUCAAAUCUUUUAAAUUAUUAUAAAUUUUAACUUACUCUCAUUUUUAUUAAAAAGAUAAAAAAAUUUCAUGCUCUUAUUUUUCCUUUAUCUUUUAAAUAAAAAUAAAAUAAAAUUUACAAUAAUUUAAAUAAUAUUUUGAAGGGUUUUCUGAAUUUUGAAGAUUUUCAUUCUACAAAAAGAUUUUGCUCCCUAUUAUUUUCAUUUUAAGAAGAAAAGUUAUGUAGCUACGUUUGAUACCGGAUGUCUUUUGAAAGAAAGUUGUCAUGUAUCUGGAACUCUGGAAGGGUGUCGGUGAAAUUGUCUUCAUCCAUAGAUGCCGUUAAAUCUUAUGAACAUCCUCGAAGACUUUCCCAGAUCAAGACUUCAAGAGAAGAUAUGGAAGCGUUGCUACACAGAAAAUCAACUUUCUAGCACAAAAUGUCAAGAAAUGCCUUACGGAAAAAGACUGGAUACAUCCUAUAAAAAUUAAAAAAAAAAAAAAAAAAAAAACACAUAAAACCAAGAUGAAAUUGAAAACAGGAUACCAUGGUUGAAAAAAAUUAGGACGAGAGCAUGAAAACAAAAUUGGGUGUACUUCAUAAAUAUUUAAUACUCAACUCUGAAAUUAAGAAAAGUGAAUGCCAGCCUUGUUAAACAAAGAGAGAAGAUAUAAGAACUCUUGUUGUGUUAGCUUAGAAGCCCUCUUCUCUUCGAACUGUCCCUCUCUCAACACAGCCAAAACUUUGUCCUUGAACUCGGACACCUCACCUUCAACAUCACUAUCGCCAUCAUCAUCUUCCACAUCCAUUUCGUCAUCACUUCCAUCAUCCAUCCCCAUACUUUGAUCCCCAUUAGAAUCCCCCAGACUUGGUGUAUCCGUUCCGAUAUCCGUAUUUCCCAAGGAACUAUUCUGUGAAGAUUGUAAUGCCUGUAGGGUCCGGUAGUUCUUUUCAAGCAUCGAUAGGACAUUUUUCAGCCUGAAAAUUGAGCUAAGGGUUUUGUUCUUUCUUAUGAAACAAAUCCGUAAAAAUCCAUCCCACUCUACAGGAUUCACUUGAGGACGCGGUUUCCUAGGCUCAAUUCGAACAACUGAGGAAUCAACCUUAGGUGGAGGACGGAAAUUGUUCUUCCCAACUUUAAGGAGGUGGGAGACCCGAGCAUGAAGUUGUGUAUUCACAGAAAGCCGACAGUAGAGCUUGUCACCAGGUUGAGCAACAAGUCUCAUAGCAAAUUCUUUCUGGAACAUAAUGAUCGCGCAUCUGAAGGCAGGUUGGUGAAACAACAACUUGAAUGUGAGUGGAGAGGAGAUUUGGUACGGGAUGUUUGCCACACAUAUAUCAAAAUAGGGAAGAUCAGUCUUGAGGACAUCACCUUGAAUGACCUGUACAGCAAAGAAAUCAGUUUCUAUUAAUUUUACAAAUGCACAACAUUCCGAUCAUCUUCUUCCUUCAAAUAAAUUAAGAAUGUCAGCACAUGCACAGUCAGAAAAGGAAUCCUACAUUGUUUCUGCUUCUGCCUUAAAGCAGACAAAAUUUGGGAAUGUGAUUGAUUAGUUAAAGCAUACUAAUGUUAAUUAACACACACAUACACACACUCUCUCUGAAGUAGAAGAACAGUGCCUAAUGCAAAACAAAUGUUAUUAGCUAGAAACAUAGUAAUUUGUCUGAAAGGAUUUUAAACCUUGAGAAAGAGAUUAGUCUGAUAAUAUUGUUCUGAGGCAAUAAAUAUAUAAGGCAGGAACUGUAAUGGUAGUAUGAAACCAUUAAAGAUUAAAA
RNAcentral lists this long non-coding RNA (33709 nucleotides) under Citrus maxima (pomelo). RNAcentral's name for it is "long non-coding RNA (CMAX_LNC002609)". The record is from RNAcentral. Lineage: Eukaryota; Viridiplantae; Streptophyta; Magnoliopsida; Sapindales; Rutaceae.